AGCUAAUGGCUGGACCAGGGUCAUUGUUGAGAAACCCUUUGGCCGAGAUUCAGAAUCCUCGGCUGCUUUAACAAAAUCGCUGAAGCAAUACCUAGAUGAAGAACAAAUAUUUAGGAUAGACCAUUAUUUAGGAAAAGAGCUGGUGGAAAACCUAUCUGUUCUCCGCUUCUCCAAUCUCAUUUUUGAACCAUUGUGGUCAAGGCAGUAUAUAAGGAAUGUACAGUUAAUAUUCUCUGAAGAUUUUGGCACUGAAGGACGUGGGGGGUACUUUGACCAUUAUGGGAUAAUAAGAGAUAUAAUGCAGAACCAUCUGCUUCAAAUACUUGCCCUUUUUGCCAUGGAAACACCUGUCAGUUUGGAUGCAGAAGAUAUCAGAAAUGAAAAGGUCAAAGUUCUACGAUCGAUGAGGCCUAUACGACUUGAAGAUGUGGUCAUUGGGCAGUACAAGAGUCACAUAAAAGGAGGAAUUACUUACCCAGCCUACACUGAUGACAAGACAGUGCCAAAAGACAGCUUAACUCCGACAUUUGCAGCAGCUGCGCUUUUCAUUGACAAUGCAAGAUGGGAUGGAGUGCCUUUCCUUAUGAAGGCUGGCAAAGCAUUACAUAAUAAGAGGGCAGAAAUUCGUGUACAGUUCAGGCAUGUGCCUGGUAACUUGUAUAAUCGGAACUUUGGAACAGAUCUUGAUCGAGGUACAAAUGAGCUUGUAAUCCGAGUACAACCAGAUGAAGCUAUUUAUUUGAAGAUUAAUAACAAGGUCCCUGGCUUGGGAAUGCGAUUGGACCAUAGCAAUUUAAAUCUUCACUAUGCUGCAAGAUAUUCUAAGGAGAUUCCAGACGCAUACGAGAGGCUCUUGCUAGAUGCCAUUGAAGGGGAAAGAAGGUUAUUUAUCAGAAGUGAUGAACUGGAUGCCGCUUGGUCACUGUUUACUCCUGUUCUGAAGGAGCUUGAAGAGAAAAAGAUUAUUCCUGAGUACUAUCCAUAUGGUAGUCGGGGACCUGUUGGGGCUCACUAUCUUGCAGCAAGAUACAACGUCAGAUGGGGAGACCUUGGCAUAGAACAGUAAAUCUGGGAAUGUUGUUUAACCCUUGCCAUUGAAGUAGGAUAGGGAGAGCAGAGAGCUUCAUUUCAUAUAUGUUUUAUUAGGACUAUUAGAUAGCGAACUCCCAUAUAAGAACUCCAUGGGAGAUCGACAGCAUGCCUUGGUGUAAACAAGUGGAAUGUAUCAAGGAACACAGGGAUUUUCCUUUUUUUUUUUUUUUUACCAUCAACCACAAGAGUGUAUUGUAACUCAAAA
Molecule: unclassified non-coding RNA, 1297 nt
Filed under: Hevea brasiliensis (rubber tree)
Lineage: Eukaryota; Viridiplantae; Streptophyta; Magnoliopsida; Malpighiales; Euphorbiaceae
Source: RNAcentral